This 241-nucleotide ribosomal RNA is filed under the name uncultured Lactobacillus sp. Its description in RNAcentral is "partial 16S ribosomal RNA". It matches the Rfam family "Bacterial small subunit ribosomal RNA", at positions 122 to 357 of the family's 1533-position model. The record is from RNAcentral. Lineage: Bacteria; Bacillati; Bacillota; Bacilli; Lactobacillales; Lactobacillaceae.
UAACCUGCCCAAGAGAUCGGGAUAACACCUGGAAACAGAUGCUAAUACCGGAUAAUAACAGAUGAUGCCUAUCAACUGUUUAAAAGAUGGUUCUGCUAUCACUCUUGGAUGGACCUGCGGUGCAUUAGCUAGUUGGUAGGGUAACGGCCUACCAAGGCGAUGAUGCAUAGCCGAGUUGAGAGACUGAUCGGCCACAUUGGGACUGAUCACGGGCCCAAACUCCUACGGGAGGCAGCAGGGG